Molecule: long non-coding RNA, 1691 nt
Organism: Helianthus annuus (common sunflower)
Lineage: Eukaryota; Viridiplantae; Streptophyta; Magnoliopsida; Asterales; Asteraceae
Exons: 2
Source: RefSeq, a predicted model, not a curated record
GAGCAGGAGAAGAAAAAGGGGAAAACCCCUAAUUAUCACAAAUUCAGCAAAUUAAAGCCCUAGAUGUGAUUCUGAGUCCAUGCAUGUCUCGAUUUUCUGAUCAUCUAUGCAUUCUUGAACACAAGGUGUAGCAAGGCUUGGAAGACAACAUGGAAAACAAGUGGAAAUGGUGACGACUUUCUUACGGGCUAAGGUAAGUGAUCUCGAUUCACUUAUUAGUAUGUAUAUAGAAUUUUGAUAUUUAUGAAUGUGGGGAAAUCAUGUAUGGUUGUGUAAUAAGAGAGAGAAUUAAGAUAAGUAAUUCUUUUUGUUAGACGAAGGUAGUUACCUAAGAUGAAGGUAAAUUGGUGGGAUUAAACGGGUCGAAUAAAUGUGCAUAGGUAAUGAAGCAAUAUGUAAUUCGUAAAGACUAAGGACCCGGGGUAAGGUUCUUAGUCAAUUAUGAAAGGAAUUGUUUUACGGAUGUUUGGGAACAAGUUCCAAAUGCAACGGAUGCGAAACGAGCAAGUUAUGCAAAUUUUAAUAUUAAAAUGGGAUGCUGAACUGGGCUUCACCGUAGCUUACGGUGCCCACCGUAAGCUACGGUGGGAGCUGGGGCCCUACUUCUGCCGUAAGGCAGUUUACAACUGCCGUAGGACUUUUGGGGGCCACCGUAAGCUACGGUAGCCACCGUAGCUUACGGUGGAGGUUUAUUGCAUAUGUAUAGUUUACGAAUUUCUUUGUUUUUCCUUUGAUUUCGAACCCCGUAAACCCAUUCCAAGCCUCAUUAAGCAUACAUAAUGUUCCUCAACCCUACCAAAUGGCUUGGUGAGCUACGGGUGAGCAUGGAUCUCAUUCUUAAGAUCCAAAACACAUCCGAAAGAUAUUUUAAAAGUGUUUAUGAUGUGUGAGUAAGAACGGGGUAUGUGAGCGAGUAUGCGGGGUAAUGAAUUAAGUACGUGGGUAUGCAUGUAUAUAUAGAUUUCACUUCAUUCCAAGGGCUUAAGCUUAUAAGUAAUCAUAAAUAGGAGUGAGUAUGUAUAUGAGUUUGUUCGUACGUGUAUUUUUAUAUGGAGGUUCGUAAUUAGGAUAUGUCAGUAAGCCAUAAGGAAUUAUGUAUGUGAUUUGUAAGAGCUAGUAUGUAUGUAUGAUUGUAAUUAAGUAUUUUAUAAGUAUGUAUGUAAGUAUGAUGUGUGUGUGUAGUAUGUGACCGACAGUGCACAUACGGAUGUGUGUAGGUACGAUAUAGUAUUAAUUGUAUAUGAGGGAAUGGGGCUUGUAUAUGUGUGUACAUAGCCUUAAUAUGUUUGAGCACUAAGUUACUAAUCAUGUGCCUUGAGAAUGAAAUGAGAUUGCAGGUAUGCUGUGGUAGUCCAUCGUGAAGUUUUGAGGAACUGGAAUGCAAGAUUGUACUCGGAAGGAUAAUCAAAAAGUCAAGUCUGGCACACGUAGAAAGAUUGCGGCGUGAUCAAUUAAUUAUGUAUGGUAGAUUAUGAAUGUAGAUUAUCAAAUUUUAAUGACGUGCAUGUUGUGGUGAAUGUAGGUUACACGGUCUAUCGUCGGUAUGAAGUAUUGGAGGAUUGAAGAUCGAGUCAAGGGCAAGAAUUGUACGGGAAGAGUAGUCACAUAGCUCAAACGCGUAUAUGUAAUUGAUGUGAAAAUUCAUAACGAACGAUGUAAACCCUUUAAUUAACUUUAAAUAUUUCUAGUAA